RNAcentral lists this non-coding RNA (182 nucleotides) under Billgrantia gudaonensis. RNAcentral's name for it is "Halomonas gudaonensis 6S RNA". It matches the Rfam family "6S / SsrS RNA". From Rfam's summary of the family: E. coli 6S RNA was the first non coding RNA to be sequenced, but its function was unknown until recently. It consists of 184 nucleotides that fold into an extended hairpin structure with a large single-stranded internal bulge. Lineage: Bacteria; Pseudomonadati; Pseudomonadota; Gammaproteobacteria; Oceanospirillales; Halomonadaceae. The record is from RNAcentral.
CGUUCCCUGGGGUGUUGGCCAGUCGUUAUCGUCCCUCGGCCUGAAGGCAAUACCCAGGGCGGCCAGCGGCUAGCCGGACCCGAUAUGCAUGUCAGUGCGACGGAAAGCCUGACGGUUCGGCUGCGGCCACCCACCUUGAACCAAGGGUUCAAGGGCCACAACAGCGGCACUCUGGGGAACCU